AUUAUUCUCUCUACAGUUGAGGCCUGAUAAGGAGAACCAUGGAUAUCAGAUCAAUGAAAAAUAUAUGUAACAAGAAUGUUUUCUUAACUCAUUUGCCCACAGAGAUAGAACGCCUGACAGUCCACACUGGGACAGUUAUCUAGGUAAAAUUCAUUCAUCUGCUUAAUUCAAGCUAAAAGCUUCAUUAAAAGAAUUUUAAUAGUUUUAUUAGCCAUUACAAAUUAGACAAAAUAAGAAUUUGCAAUGAGCAUGUAUAAAGCAAAAACUGAAUGCCCCAAUUAGAAAACAGCCAUAUUACAUGAAGCUCUA
This 309-nucleotide unclassified non-coding RNA is filed under the name Hevea brasiliensis (rubber tree). The record is from RNAcentral. Lineage: Eukaryota; Viridiplantae; Streptophyta; Magnoliopsida; Malpighiales; Euphorbiaceae.